Molecule: long non-coding RNA, 233 nt
Filed under: Capsicum annuum
Lineage: Eukaryota; Viridiplantae; Streptophyta; Magnoliopsida; Solanales; Solanaceae
Description: long non-coding RNA (CANN_LNC019921)
Source: RNAcentral
UAUCCCUCAAAACGGUUUGGUGGAUUUGGAUAAAGUAGAUUCGAAUUUAGAGGAUAGUAAGGCCUUUGGUUCAAUGGAGUUUGGAUUGGAAAGUGAGGUCUUUGGAUAAGUGGAGGGUUCGGGUUUGGUGGCAUUUGGGUUCCAAAUCCGUCAUGUUGGACUUGGUGAAGUGGAGGGAGGAUUGCUCUAUCAUACUCACGGUUUUGGGAAACAUUUGGUGGUUGGCGCGGUGA